AUACGGAGGAUCCGAGCGUUAUCCGGAUUUAUUGGGUUUAAAGGGUGCGCAGGCGGCCAUUUAAGUCAGCGGUUAAAUCGUGGGGCUCAACCCCAUUCUGCCGUUGAUACUGGGUGGCUUGAUUGCGGUCGAGGUUUGCGGAAUUCGUUGUGUAGCGGUGAAAUGCAUAGAUAUGACGAAGAACACCGAUUGCGUAGGCAGCUGACCAGACCGCAAAUGACGCUCAUGCACGAAAGUGCGGGGAUCGAACAGGAUUAGAUACCCUGGUAGUCCGCACAGUAAACGAUGAAUACUUGUUUUCGGCGAUAUAAUGUCGGAGGCAAAGCGAAAGCGAUAAGUAUUCCACCUGGGGAGUACGCCGGCAACGGUGAAACUCAAAGGAAUUGACGGGG
This 392-nucleotide ribosomal RNA is filed under the name uncultured bacterium. RNAcentral's name for it is "partial 16S ribosomal RNA". It matches the Rfam family "Bacterial small subunit ribosomal RNA", at positions 523 to 918 of the family's 1533-position model. The record is from RNAcentral.